Long non-coding RNA from Notothenia coriiceps (black rockcod), 340 nucleotides. RefSeq lists it as uncharacterized. The transcript is spliced from 3 exons. NCBI's taxonomy places the organism in Eukaryota, Metazoa, Chordata, Actinopteri, Perciformes, Nototheniidae. The record is from RefSeq and is a predicted model, not a curated record.
UGUUCAUGUGUACAGCUUAAAGGCAACAUCAACACUCUUUAUAUAUUCAUUUAUGACAGGAAACACAUCAUUAUGAAGAAAUGUAAUUUAUGUUGUCAAUGUAUACAUUUUAAGUCAAUGAAAAGCAAAGUAAUAAUUUCCAAAUGAUUUACCAUAACAAUACAAAAUAUAAUAAUAAAGCCAAGCAUUGAUUUACACAAAUCAGUAAAACUGUGAAUAAAGUUGUAACGACGGGACGCCGUUACUAGAGCUCACGUGGACAUGUUUAUAUAGGCUAAUCAUUGUUUUAAUAGGUAUAUUGACGACAACUUCCCCUUUCCCCAUCUUGUGUGUUGUUUCC